This 767-nucleotide ribosomal RNA is filed under the name uncultured Lysobacteraceae bacterium. RNAcentral's name for it is "bacterial SSU rRNA". It matches the Rfam family "Bacterial small subunit ribosomal RNA", at positions 46 to 799 of the family's 1533-position model. Lineage: Bacteria; Pseudomonadati; Pseudomonadota; Gammaproteobacteria; Lysobacterales; Lysobacteraceae. The record is from RNAcentral.
GCUUAACACAUGCAAGUCGAACGGCAGCACAGCUUAAGCUUGCUUAAGUGGGUGGCGAGUGGCGGACGGGUGAGUAAUGCAUCGGGACCUACCUAGACGUGGGGGAUAACGUAGGGAAACUUACGCUAAUACCGCAUACGUCCUACGGGAGAAAGCAGGGGACCUUCGGGCCUUGCGCGGUUAGACGGACCGAUGUUCGAUUAGCUUGUUGGUGAGGUAACGGCCCACCAAGGCGACGAUCGAUAGCUGGUCUGAGAGGAUGAUCAGCCACACUGGGACUGAGACACGGCCCAGACUCCUACGGGAGGCAGCAGUGGGGAAUAUUGGACAAUGGGCGCAAGCCUGAUCCAGCAAUGCCGCGUGUGUGAAGAAGGCCUUCGGGUUGUAAAGCACUUUUAUCAGGAGCGAAACGCUGUCGGCUAAUACCCGGCGGAACUGACGGUACCUGAGGAAUAAGCACCGGCUAACUUCGCGCCAGCAGCCGCGGUAAUACGAAGGGUGCAAGCGUUAAUCGGAAUUACUGGGCGUAAAGCGUGCGUAGGCGGUUUCUUAAGUCUGCUGUGAAAUCCCCGGGCUCAACCUGGGAAUGGCAGUGGAUACUGGGAGGCUAGAGUGUGUCAGAGGGUGGUGGAAUUCCCGGUGUAGCGGUGAAAUGCGUAGAGAUGUGGAGGAAUACCGAUGGCGAAGGCAGCCCCCUGGGUUAGUACUGACGCUCAUGCACGAAAGCGUGGGGAGCAAACAGGAUUAGAUACCCCUGGUAGUCCACG